ACAUCACCCACCCAGUUUCAAAACACUAGCUGCUCCUCUCUGCCUUCUGCCUCCCUGUUGAUUCCAUGUUUACUUUCUAACAGCAACGUUAAAUAGAUUAUAGAGGAUUCACUUAUUUAAAGACUGCAGUUUAUUUUUGGCUCAUCCAAGAAUAACACAAUACAGUGCUUGAGGGUUCCAGAAGGCUCAAAAUGAAGUCAGUUACCUUUGCCCCAUGGGACAGUAUUGUGUAGUAGAGCAGCAAAUCAGCCAGAGGCUUAGUAGGUCAGCUCAGCAUUGUUUUUACCCUCUGUACCACUCGGCUGGGAGCACACUUCUAUCGGUUGUACUCAGACUUGCUACACCAAGAGGCUCCCUGCACAACUCCCAUCAUGUCUCUCAGGCUCCUGCCUUCUUCCCUCAUGGUCGACGAUGAUGAUGAUGAUGGUAACUUCACAAAAUGGAUGAGUAGUUACUGGGGUCACGGAGCCGAAUGUGGACGCUCCAGAGACAGGAAACGCAGUUUCAGGAGAUCUGCAAAAAUACACGGUGAUCGAAGAGCAUCACUCCCGACUGUGUCACAAUUAGAUGCCAUGAAGUUAAACAGGCUCCACACAGCGACAAUGGCAGCCACCCCAAGCCACAUCAAAACGCGAGAGGAGAAGGGGGAGGUCCGGCCUCACCAGAGAGCUCGUUGUACCUCCUCAGACGACAACAGCCGCUCCAAGUCAGCCAUCCCAGAGAAUCGCAUCACCACUAUCCCAGAGCUCACAGAGUCUUUCCAGAAGAGACUUUUUCUCUGUGAUAAGAGGACCAUGUCUGUGAAUGGUGACUACAAGUUGUGCCCGAUCUGUUAUGAUGACAUGCGCAAGGGUGGAGGGGGAGUUCAAGAGCUGCACUGUGCACACCGCUUCCACAAAGAGUGCAUGGAGCAGUGGCUAUGGAAAAAACAGAUGUGUGUCCACAUGCCGUGUCCACGUGUUCAUGCCGAAUCCCCUCUACUGGUCUUCGUCCCGCAUCAAAGUCCCAUAACGGUCCUUGUACCUACACCUGCCAUGCCUGCAUGUCAAUGAGACCCACUGACCCCCCCCCCCUCCCCCAGAGAUCUACCACAUCUUGGUCAUUCUGCAUGAAUCCGCUGCUCCUUGGUCAACCUGUGCGGAUUUCCUCUAACCUGUACUCGAUGAGGAGAUUUUAGAUCAUCCUCUAUCUUGGGAGGGCUGUAUGAGAGUUAGGGGGCCCCUAGUCUAUAUCCACGACGUUCCACUUCUGGGAUUGCUACGGUGCCAUCGGAAAAUCGGAUUUUAAACUCCGGUGGAUUUGUGAGGACUAUGGUUAACUGCUCCUCAGAUCUCUGCAGGGUAAAUCCAGACAGCUAGCUAGACUAUCUGUCCAAUCUGAGUUUUCUGGUCUGGCAAUGCGAGACUAGGAGGCCCCUUAAUAAGAGAGAUAAAUUGUAAUUGGUGGCGUCUCACACUCUAAAUAUAAAUAGUUAUAUAAGAUUAGAAAGUUAUGUUUAAAUUAUUCCCAAAAUACGAGUGGUUUUGUCUCUUUGUCUACAUUAUGUUAGUGUCAAAAGACUUUCCAGAGACAUUCUAAACUCUGCAUUGAACCUGCAGUUUUUGAAGCAAAUUUCCUCAAGAUUCACUAUGUUUUUUUUUAAAUUGUUACAUUUUUCUUUUUGCAUCUUUGUAAAUCUCAUUUACCUUCAAGGAAUAAUUUUUCAUUUUGGUAAAUUCGUUUAUUUGCUUUCUUGCUGAGAGUUAGAUGAGAAGAUUCAUGGUCACUGAGAUUUCCCUUUUAUAAAAUAAACUUCUUGAAAACACAUUGUUAACUUAAACCAUUUUGUACACCUCUCCCUUGUCGGACAAGAACAAAGGUUAUGUUCCACACUAACUUGCAGAGUGUCAAUAGAAUGUUGAGUAUUUGAAUAUUCAAACUAAUUGCGGCCAGUAUUUUUGGAUGAAUUGUAGAGUCCGUCCAUGUUGAUGACAUAACUAAAUCUUGUGGAAGUAUGUGAUAAGAGCAUGGGCAGAAAUAAUAAUACUUCGCGUUUCACGACAAGUUUGAAAGUGAGUAAGACCAUCCGCCUGUUUUAUGCCUGUGUUAAUCUUUACUCUCAAGUUAUAAAAGCAAACUCCUCCUCCUGA
This is an RNA transcript of Sander lucioperca (pikeperch), 2129 nucleotides long. It is a transcript of the gene named leukemia NUP98 fusion partner 1, with no coding region annotated. The record is from RefSeq and is a predicted model, not a curated record. NCBI's taxonomy places the organism in Eukaryota, Metazoa, Chordata, Actinopteri, Perciformes, Percidae. The transcript has 5 exons.